Molecule: ribosomal RNA, 1503 nt
Filed under: metagenome
Description: bacterial SSU rRNA
Rfam family: Eukaryotic small subunit ribosomal RNA
Source: RNAcentral
ACUGUGGAGCUAAUACACGUAUGAAGAAGCUUGCCCUAUCAACCUCUCAAGGGGUUCGCUCCGAAGGAGGUGGGGUGGGCUGCUAUUGGCCGGUACAAAAACUAACGCCCGAUUAGGGCAGCAUUAACAGUUGAGGCAGGCCAAUCUUGCAAAAGCGCCUUUUUGGCGCGUUGCUGGACGAAUUUACCACCUAUCAGGUAGAUGGUAGUGUAGUGGACUACCAUGCCAAUGACGGGUAACGGGGGAUUGGGGUUCGAUUCCGGAGAGGGUGCCUGAGAAAUGGCAACCAUCGCUAUGGCGAGCAGCAGGCGCGCAAAUUGCCCAAUGCCGACUCGGUGAGGCAGCAACGAAAAAUAACAACUUCACCGCCUUAUGGCAUGAAGAUUGUAAUGAUUUGUAAACACACGUACUAAGAGUAUCCAUUGGAGGACAAGUCUGGUGCCAGCACCCGCGGUAAUACCAGCUCCAAGAGCGUAUAUUAAUGUUGCUGCGGUUAAAAAGCUCGUAGUUGGACGUAAGAGCCAAGGCUGUGGUUGGGUCCGUCGGCUGGAAGUUUCGACCGAAGGCUGACGUGGUCUGCCACAAUACGCUGAGGCUCUUUCAUCUUGUGGGAGUGGUUGCUUGCCGAAGCCACCUUAACUGGUGUGUGGAAGCUCUUUCGGAGUCUCUCGCUCCAUAAGGCACGCCCACAGAUGUUACUGUGAGUAAAACAGAAUGUUCAAAGUAAUCGGCUUGCCGAUUGAAUGUCAAAGCAUGGAAUAACAAGGGAUCGACCACUGUGGCCUCUUUUUGUUGGUUUUCAAGCCUCAGUGUGGUAACUCCGCGCAGGACUUCUCUUGGGCGUUCCUGGGUUCCUAUUCAGGUCGUUCUUGUAGAGUCCUGUUGCAUUCGGGAUCAAUAGGAGCGCGGGGAGCAAUCAGUACUUCGGGGUGAGAGGUGAAAUUCAUAGACCCCCGAAAGACUAACAUCAGCGAAAGCCGUUUGCUAUCGCGCUUUCAUUAAUCAAGAACGAGAGAAAGGGGAUCGAAGAUGAUCAGAUACCGUCGUAGUCCUUUCCGUAAAUGAUGCAGACUUGGGAUCGGUCACUGUUCUUCUAGUGACAUGAUCGGCACCUCAUUCCCUGUCGAGAAAUCAAAGUCUUUGUGUUCCGGGGGGAGUAUAUUCGCAAGGCUGAAACUUAAAGGAAUUGACGGAGAACCACCACCAGACGUGGAGUGUGUGGCUUAAUUCGACCCAACACGGGAAAUCUUUUAAACCUGUGUCGUGAUGGGGAUAGAUCAUUGAAAUUAUUGUCCUUGAACGAGGAAUGUCUUGUAGGCGCGUUUCAUCAGAACGCACCGAAUACGUCCCUGGUUCUUGUACACACCGCCCGUCGUUGCCUGUAAUGGCAUGUGAGUAGAACCGUUUGGAGGUUCCGUUAUUUAUAUCGGUCCAAAAUUCGGUAAUACUUGCAUGCUAGAAGAGGCAAAAGUCGUAACAAGGUUGCUGUAGGUGGACCUGCAG